This 302-nucleotide small nuclear RNA is filed under the name Sorex araneus (European shrew). RNAcentral's name for it is "7SK RNA (ENSSARG00000018588.1)". It matches the Rfam family "7SK RNA". Rfam says of the family: 7SK was discovered as an abundant small nuclear RNA in the mid-70s but a possible function has only recently been suggested. Lineage: Eukaryota; Metazoa; Chordata; Mammalia; Eulipotyphla; Soricidae. The record is from RNAcentral.
GGAUAUGAGGGUGAUCUGGUUAUGACAUCUGUCAUCCAGGUUGAUUUGGCUGGCCCAGCAGGUACCCCCAACUUUCCUCAUCUUUCCAUAUUUAUCCCUCUUAAAGUUGCACACCUGGUUGAUGAUGGCCUCCCUCAAAUAAAAGUUGAAAUUUCUUUCAUUAGAUAUACGAGCAGCUGCUCUCCCCUGCUAGAAACCCCAAACAAGCUCUCACAGAAUCAUUCCUAAUAUUGUUCACCAUAUGUAUCGCCAAGACUUAAACCAUGGUCAGCUGUCCACAUGGUGUGUGUAAGCCCCUGGAC